This is a long non-coding RNA of Papaver somniferum (opium poppy), 462 nucleotides long. RefSeq lists it as uncharacterized. The transcript is spliced from 4 exons. Lineage: Eukaryota; Viridiplantae; Streptophyta; Magnoliopsida; Ranunculales; Papaveraceae. The record is from RefSeq and is a predicted model, not a curated record.
GUGCUAAUAAUGCAUGUUGCAUUUUUGUUUUCUUGGUGCUAACAAAGUUGCUUCCAACACAUAUCAGUUAUCCAGCAUGCUCAGAUGUUUGAAUAAAAAACUAGACUGCAACUAUUACACCUGUGUGAAUGAGCAUGUUUUUUAUGUCUUUUACAGCUAGUUGCAGCAGCAGAUUGUGCAAGAGCUUUGGAUGUAAUCGAUUACUUGCGCAAUUUACUGGAUACUGACAAGCUUGCUGGUCUCAAAUGCUUCUGUCAUCUGCAUGAUCAGUUAGCAAGAUCCAUCCAGGAUAUAAACAGCAUUCUUUCAGCAGAGUUCAGACGUGCUUCCAUGUACAAUGUCAAAGAUGGCAUGCCUAUUAUUUUGGCUAGAAUAGAAGCAAGGAAUUUUGAGAUGGACGAGGAAGAAAUGUUUCGCCUUCGUGAACGUCUUCUACCUUCUGUCAUUGGAUUGCUCAGAACU